UCUCGGUUAGUAUAGUGGUUAGUAUACCGGCUUGUCAAUCAUCUCAGUCACACCUGUGGAUGAGAUACUUGCGACGCCGGUGACCCGGGUUCAAUUCCCGGACCGAGAG
Non-coding RNA from Paraphoma chrysanthemicola, 109 nucleotides. Lineage: Eukaryota; Fungi; Ascomycota; Dothideomycetes; Pleosporales; Phaeosphaeriaceae. The record is from the annotation of a GenBank genome assembly.